AAAAAGGGGUAAAAGUUUACUCUCACCCCAUCAUAACUUUUUACGGGUCAAAAAAUCAACCCACAAAUUUUCAUUUCUCUUUCAUCUCUCGACCUUCAAGCACGACUGAAGCUAGCUAUGCCGGCCGACGAAGCUAGCCAUGGCGGCCGACUGAAGCUUUCUCUCUCUUCCUCUCCUCCUCUCUUUCGAACGAUUUCAUUGAAGAAUUGGAUUUGAAGUUGCUUCCCUAUUUGUAAAUUGCCCCAAAUUGAAGUUAAAUAUAAAGGUUAGCCGUUCUAUUUUGGUUAUUUGAUCUGGUUUUCUUAGAUUUUGAAUCCUUAAUUGAUGUUUGUGAUUAAAUCUAUGAUUAUUUAUUUGAUUUUUAUGAUAAUUUUCAUUUUUUUUUCUAAAUUUAAUUAGGGUUCCUUAGUAGGCGUAAUAUAUGAAAUUGAACGGAAAUUAGUUCAAUUUGUGCGAUUUUAUGAAAUUGAACGAAAAUUAGUUCCAUUAAUUGAUGUUUGUGAUUAGAUCUAUGAUUGGUAUUGAAUAUUGAUUCAUAUUCCAGUCAUAUAUGUCCAGCCUUUGUGUAAAUUUGUUUAUUUGGAUGUAAUUUGGAAUUUGAUGGUUGAUGUGAAAUAUAUGGAUUAAAUAUUGCUAAUUUGCAGUUAAAUUGUUUAUGAAAUAUGUUCAAUUGGUGGUUUGAAGUUUUUUGAGAAAUGUUGCCCUUGGUUGAAUCAAUCUGCUCAAUUUAUGGUGUAAUUUUGGCAAUGAAAUCACAGUUCAAUUUUUUUUUUUCUGAACAGAUUUUGAAUCAUAGAAAAGAUGGACAACAGAUUAUUUCUAUGAAAUCAAAGUUCAAUUAUUUCUAUGUUUCCUUUCUAUGUCCAUAUAGUUUUCAUAGAAAAUUAUAGAAUUAUUGAUUGUAUGUCAUUCUUCUAUGCAUCCAUGGCUCGUAUGCCACCAUCAAAACGUCAAAAUGCUAUUAUUUUACUUAUUUACUUUAUUAGAUUGAGGGAUAUGAUGAUGAUGAUUUUUUUACACAUUAUGUCUAUACUUGAAUUCACUAAAAAUACCACACAAAAAAAAAAUGUUCAUUCUUCCAAACGAACCCUUAUUCAAGGUAUGAAGAAUAUAAAAGAGUUUCUUCGUGAUGAAAUUAGUUGUAUUGACCAAUUAAGAAUGGAUAGAAAUACAUUUUACACAUUAUGUGAUUUGCUUCGUAAUUAUGGGGGUUUAAAAGAAUCAAGAAACAUGUUUGUUGAGGAGAGAGUUGCUAUAUUUUUAAAUAUACUAGGUCAUGACUUAAAACAAAGGUUGAUAGUGAGACGUCUAAGAAGAUCUAAAGAGACCAUCACUAGAAACUUUCGCCAAGUAUUAAGAUGUGUUUUGCGAUUGCACAAAAACUUGUCAAAGACUCUGGAGCCUAUAAAAGAGGAUUGCAAGGAUCAAAGGUGGAAGCGGUUUAAGGGGCUUUAGAUGGAACAUACAUCAAAUUAAGGGUCUUCUGACAUUGACAAGCCUAGAUAUCGGACAAGGAAAGGGGACAUAGCAACAGAUGUUUUAGCUGCUUGUUAUAUAGAUAUGCAAUUAAUAUACUUUUUGCCUGGGUGGGAAGGCUCUGCUGCUGAUUGUAGGGUUCUCAAAGAUGCAAUUAGUAGAAGACAUCCUGUUAAAGUCCCUCGUGGAAAUUAUUAUUUGGUUGAUUCUAGUUACACAAAUGGAGAAGGUUUUCUUGCCCCAUAUAGAGGUCAAAGGUAUCAUCUUAAAGAGUGGAAGGAGGGUUAUCAACCUACUACUCUGGAGUACUUCAACAUGAAACACUCAUGUGCUAGGAACGUAAUUGAGAGAUGUUUUGGAUUACUCAAGAUGCGUUGGGAAAUACUUAGAAAUUGAUAUGCAUCUCUUAUCUAGUAAGUCUCACAAAGAAUCAAAGGGCUUGUAUCGAAAACCAUUCCCAUUGUUUGAUGAUCUUGAGGAAGUAUUUGCAAAAGAUAGAGCUACUGGAGUGAAAGAUGACCAAGUCAUGAAUGUCCAAGACAUCACCCAAGAUGAUGCUACAUCAUCAAAAAAGUCUAUUGAAGUAUCAUCUACAAACCACGAUGAUGUAUUGACUGAAGGGUCUAGUAAGAGGACUAUAGAUGAGGGUUCAUCCAAGAAGCCAACUAUGAAAAAUUUGCGAAUAACCAACAAAGAAAUUCAAAAUUUUCAAAAAAAUUUGGAGUCGAUGAUGGGAAAUAUGUUGGAGAAUAGCAAUGCUCAGAUUGAUAAGUUGGUGAGUAUUCUCGAAGGGCCAAAAAAUAUCAAGGUUGGAUUGCGUGAAGAAUUAUGAAAAGUUCCUGAUAUUUCUACGGCUAAUGCUCUUUCUUUGUGUGUUAAGAUGACUAAAGAUGAGAUAGUGAUACUUCGAGACUUGGUGGAUGAUGACGAGAAAUAUGAUUUUCUAACUAUGAUUUUAAAGAAGUAAUGGUGGUCUUUGGGAGUUAAUUUUGACAUAUGUACUAAUAAUAUUAAUGCUACUUUUUAGUUUAUUGUCUAUUUGAGUAUUUCAAUGUACUUAAGUACUAAUUAUGAAUUUAUUUCUUAAUUAGCUUUUUA
Molecule: long non-coding RNA, 2574 nt
Organism: Chenopodium quinoa (quinoa)
Lineage: Eukaryota; Viridiplantae; Streptophyta; Magnoliopsida; Caryophyllales; Amaranthaceae
Exons: 4
Source: RefSeq, a predicted model, not a curated record